This 613-nucleotide long non-coding RNA is filed under the name Equus caballus (horse). Its description in RNAcentral is "lncRNA (ENSECAG00000039441.2)". Lineage: Eukaryota; Metazoa; Chordata; Mammalia; Perissodactyla; Equidae. The record is from RNAcentral.
GUGACCUGUGAGCUGGACUCAGUCAAUCUGAGGUUCCUCACCCUUUCCCCUGUCCUUGGAACAUGCAUUCUGCCUGCCUUCUCCGAACUUGAAGCUGCCUCAAGGAUGCAGCCUUGAGAUAGUAAUGCAGUCUUAUUGAGACCAUCUGGAUGAUAUCUAUGACUGGACCCAGGGGCCAGUUUCAGAUUUCACCCAGGAAGCUCCCAAGGUUUCAAACCAGCAGCCAGAGGAGGCUGGAUUGAUGACAUCUGCUUAAAGUUCUUUGAGUCCUUAAUGACAUUCAGUCUGAAAAGGGGAAAGUUGAAGGCAAUUUCAAGAUUCUACCCUCAAAAGGAAGAUCUUCAUGGCUUUACAUGCUGAAGAAAACCAGCUAAAGAUAUUAUCAGAAAAGGAAGAAGUGGGUAGAAGAAUUUAAAACAAAAACCAGAAACCAAACCAAUAACUGGAAGCAGAUUUUCGGUCAAUAUCCCGAUACUACUACCACUACUGCCACCCCACCACCAAUAACAAGAAGGACAACAACAGUCAAGCUUCACUUUUAUCAUGCCAGAAAGGUUCCCAAUGCUUUAUAAUAAAUUAUGUACAAAUGUAGUGGUUUCUCCAUAUAUGUAGA